AAGACUAUACUUUCAGGGAUCAUUUCUAUAGUUUGUUACUAGAGAAGUUUCUCUGAACGUGUAGAGCACCGAGGCAUGGGCAAGGACUUCAUGUCCA
Molecule: small nucleolar RNA, 97 nt
Filed under: Homo sapiens (human)
Lineage: Eukaryota; Metazoa; Chordata; Mammalia; Primates; Hominidae
Description: Small nucleolar RNA U3
Rfam family: Small nucleolar RNA U3
About the family: Small nucleolar RNAs (snoRNAs) are involved in the processing and modification of rRNA in the nucleolus. There are two main classes of snoRNAs: the box C/D class, and the box H/ACA class.
Source: Rfam by way of RNAcentral